This 484-nucleotide ribosomal RNA is filed under the name uncultured bacterium. RNAcentral's name for it is "partial 16S ribosomal RNA". It matches the Rfam family "Bacterial small subunit ribosomal RNA", at positions 30 to 507 of the family's 1533-position model. The record is from RNAcentral.
AUUGAACGCUGGCGGCAGGCCUAACACAUGCAAGUCGAGCGGAUGAAGGGAGCUUGCUCCUGGAUACAGCGGCGGACGGGUGAGUAAUGCCGAGGAAUCUGCCUGUUUGUUUGGGAUAACGUCCGGAAACGGGCGCUAAUACCGCAUACGUCCUGAGGGCGAAAGGGGGGGAUCUUCGGACCUCACGCUAUCAGAUGAUCCUAGGUCGGAUUAGCUAGUUGGUGGGGUAAAGGCCUACCAAGGCGACGAUCCGUAACUGGUCUGAGAGGAUGAUCAGUCACACUGGAACUGAGACACGGUCCAGACUCCUACGGGAGGCAGCAGUGGGGAAUAUUGGACAAUGGGCGAAAGCCUGAUCCAGCCAUGCCGCGUGUGUGAAGAAGGUCUUCGGAUUGUAAAGCCCUUUUAGUUGGGAGGAAGGGCAGUAAGUUAAUACCUUGCUGUUUUGACGUUACCAAAAGAAUAAGCACCGGCUAACUUCGUG